AAAAAAAAAAAAGUUUGAGGAAUUCUUUGAUGAAUUGAAAAACACUGGAAAAUACUGUGAAAUACCUUGUAGGUGACAGCAAAUGUGGAGCUGCUAUUUGAAUACUUGUAGAAAGAGACCUUUUUGUAGUCAGUUUUUGGAUAUAAGGAUCAUCUAAAUUUAGAUGAUAAAGUUCUUUCUGCUAGCUUUUGGGAGACUAUAGAGUGGUUUUGCUGAACUUUCUGAAGGUUAGGCUGGACCAAGAGGCAUUUUGAGGGAGAGAUGUAGGAAUUGAGGAAAUUAAAUAUAUGUUGCUAUACCAGCUAAUAAUCUUUCCAAGCAGACAUUGUGUAAGCAUGCAUAGCAUAUGCGAUGCUUAAGAGGUAUCUAGAAUAUAGGAGCCAAAUAAAAUUGCUUCAGCAAGUAAAAAAAUGGAGAUAGUUACCCACAUUUUCAUCUUCUGAAGCCAUGGUGUUUUUUUUAAGCUUUCUAUAUUAUCUGCUUAUCAAAGUGAUUCAAGCUAUGAUAGUCAUAAAAUUUUUAACUUUAGAAUUUUGGGGGUCCCCGUGUAUGCCUGGGGAGUAGGUUAUUUAUUGACUCUCCAGGCUAUUGUUUUCGGGAUUGUUUAAAAACAAACCUUAUGUAUCUUGGUAACCCGGAGUUGGCGAACAGUACAAAGACAUAAAUACCCUUAGAUGAUUCCUGUCCUGUAGUAUGCUCUGGAGCAAAUCCUACUUUAAGAUUAUGUAAAUGAUAGAAAUGACACAUUCUUAACGUGAGAUUACAUUUGCUUUAGCUCCUAAGGAGAUCGAUUUUCUAUUUCUUAAAAUGAAAAGUCAACGCUCAGUAGUGCCAGCAAUUUCAGGAUUUACUCAGUAAAAAAACUAAUUCUUUAACUUGGUAACUAAAUAUUUGUAGGAAGAAAAGUUUCACUUUUGAUAGUCAUCUUGCAGCCAUGGAAAUUAGUAACCCCUGUGAAGUAGUGUUGUUUCUAAGCAGUUGAGGGAAAGAAAAGACAAAAUUGUAAAAUUCAAAGAUGACUGAUUCACUGAAGGACCCAAAUUAUUAUUCUAAUUCUGCAUGAAGCUGGACAGAUUAACCUCUACAGAAUUGGGUAAUUGGAGUAGACUUUUUAAAGGAGCUUUCUGGCUCUAAAAGAUGUCUGAUUCUGAUAACGUGGCCUUAUCAUUUGUUAACUUGGGCUGUGAAUCCAGGUGUACUUUGGCUUUUAGAAAAAAAAGGAUUGGAGUAGUCUGACUGAACAUUCAGCAGACACUUAAUCCAUAACUGCCAAGCUCCCUAACACAAAUACCCAAGUGACCAAUUCUGUGCUGUAGAACAGAGGAGUUGGCAAACUCUGUGUGUGUGUGUGUGUGUGCGCGCAUGUGUGUGUACAGAGCCAUUUUAUUUUAUUUUAAUUUAAUUUUUUUAAUUCUUAUUUAUAUUUUUUUAACGAUUCAUUUUGGAGAGAGAGUGACAGAGUGCAAGCAGGGGAAGAACAGAGAGAGAGAGGGAGACCCAGAAUCCGAAGUAGGCUCCAGGUGCUGUCAGCACAGAGCCCGAUGCAGGGCCUGAACCCACGAACCGUGAGAGCAUGACCUCAGCCUAAGUUGGAUGCUUAACCAACUGAGCCACCCAGCACUGUUUACAAUAGGCAAGACAUGGAAACAGCCUAAAUGUUGAUGAAUGAACGGGUAAGGAAAAUGUGUUAAUAUGCAGUGGAAUAUUAGUCCGUCAUAAAAAAAAAAAAAAGGGAAAUCCUGUCAUUUGCAACAUGUAUGGACCU
Molecule: long non-coding RNA, 1765 nt
Organism: Neofelis nebulosa (Clouded leopard)
Lineage: Eukaryota; Metazoa; Chordata; Mammalia; Carnivora; Felidae
Exons: 2
Source: RefSeq, a predicted model, not a curated record